GUGGCGAGCCAGCCCCAGCUAAGGGCUGGGGCCAGCUUCUCCAAGGUGCGCAUUCAGAUUUGAAGGUGCCUCUCCCCCCUUCCCCUUUCCUUCCUCUCAGACAGAGAUACCUGAGCCAGCAGGUCAACUCAGGUUACCUCAACAGCUUGGAAAUAAAGGAACCGCAAGCAGCCAUCCUCGCUGGGGCGUCUCUGCCCCUCGCCCCAAGGCCUGCUCCUCCCUCCUAGGUACCACGGAUUUAUGUUCGUUCGUCCGGGUCAUUCUGCCUUUUUGUGUUAAUUGCGCGCUGCCUGCCCGGUGCUUAUCUCCUUCGCAAAGCGAUUAUUCUCGACGCCAGCGCUCCAGAGCCUCUCGAGCCUGCUGCCAGAGCGAGGGCCCAUCUCCCGCCGCCACUCGCGAUUUAUUUACACCUCGCAGAGACACUGUGCAAAGGACCUGCCGCGAUCCCCCGCCAUUCAGGCGCAUUUCUGGGCUCGGAACACCUCCGCUCACGCAGAAGCACGCUCCGAGGCUCCCGCGACCUCCUGCCCGCGGCGCGCACCCUAAACUCCUCGUUCCUCUUACCCUGCCGCUGGAUCCGCACCACCUAUUCCGCCGCCUCCUGCAGGACUUUGGGGUGGGACGCUGACUUCUCCCGAUUGUUUGCCCCCUGGUUUGUAGCCCACCUCUCUCUCUCUCUCUCUCUCUCUCUCUCUCUCUCUCACGCGCGCCUCUCUCUCUCUCCACCUCUCCCUCCCAGCCAGUGAGGUCCUGUUCUCCGUGGGCCAUAGACAAAACAUUCCUAUAAUCCGAUUUCAAAGGAAAGAGUGUCCACCUUAUUUAAACCAUAAAACAAUUAAGCCCAGACGUCUAGCCAGCUCCGCGCUGCUGUUUUGUUCGGCCCCAUUCAGAAUCCAGCGCAGGGAGACAAACAGCGCCAUAAAAGUGGCAUUUCGGGGCUGCGGAAAUGUACCUAUCCGCUGCCUUCCCAAGUGGAACAACCUUUAGGGUUUUGUGAUUCUGACAAAGGAGCAGAGGAGAGGUGGGAGGGGAAGAUUAGGGCAGGAGGGCGUUUGCUAGCUCCUCUUCCCUCUCCCCCCACCCCAGCUUUCGCUUCUUUCCCUAGAUGUGUGUUGUGUUGUGGUUUUAAUUCACAAAUUGUAAUAAAUUUUUAAAAAAUGAAUCCAAUCCUGACCUGCAGGCUGGAGGCUGAGCUGGAACUGGACAGUGGGCUGGGCCGGGUGGGCCUGUUCUGGAUCCCACGCUCUCUCCAGGGCCCUCGGAGCCCGGAGCCCUGAGCCCUGCGGCCCUCCUUCCUGUCCCGAGUAAGGCCGGCUCCGGCGGGCUGCAGGAAGCAGGCCGCGCUGAUGGACGAGGGGAGGCGACAGGGCCUUGGAGCAGGGGCGGGGUGGAGGCCUGGAAACGCCGCGGAGCCUGGGCUGGGAGAAAAGCCCGAGUCCCCGCAGUCAGGACCGGCAGUCAGGAUCCAGGGACAUGGGUGUCCUGGCCUCCGACCGGGUGUGAAACCAACGCCAGUGUUCCAGAACAGCAAAAAGGCCAAAGGGGGGAGUGAGGAUUGAGAAAAGAGGAUAAACUACAGGCAAAACACCAUUCAAAAGGACCAAGAAAACAACUGCUUCUAGAAUUAGGGAGGAGGUCUCUUCAGUGGGAAAGAAGAGAAGGUGCUUCAGCCACUGGGAAAAACCAGUGUUUGCGACUUUUGAUUGUCCCCCUCAAAAUACCAUCCAAACGAAAUGUUUGUCCCUUCCCACCUUCCUCCAGCCCCCGAAAUUGGAGUGUUGAAUGGAAGGAGGGAGUAGGAGAUUCAAAUGAUGGGGAAGGGGCUGGUCCCUCCAAGUGCCUCACCAAUCCUGUAAGGCCAUGCGAUGGAGGACGCCGCAGAAGGACUGGGAUCCCCAAUGAUUUUCUUUUAUGGUGGUAUUCCCCAAGUACUCAGAACAACACCCUGCACCCUCGCCAGAAUGGGCAGCCUGAGAUAUUAAAGCACUAUAUUUCAAGCCGUCUGAGUUUAAUAGUUUCCAGAUUGGGGGAUUUCCGAGAAAGGGGGCGCCGGGCUGAGGCAUACCCAGCAGCUCGUGUCUGCUUCUGAUUACCAGAUGAAAACUGCCGGGGAAGGCGCUCUGGGGUGCAGUGCAACUGACCAGCCCCAAUGAGCUGUUGCACAUACUGGCCUCUACCCUUGUGCCUGGGGUCCCACCACCAUCAGGGAACACCCCACUCCAGGCUAAUCCCUGACCAGCUUCCUUAGGCCUUGACCAUGUCACCCCCAGAAACGCUGCAGCCACUCAGCAUAACUCUGUUACCCCCAAACCAACAUUCAAACUAACCACUAGACAGAGAGAGAGACUGAGAAGAAAAGAGAACUAGGAGAGGGAGAGCGAGAGGGAGAAGCUGAGAAUGCAUUGAGAAGUUGAAACUAAAUCUAAUUCUGAUUGUAUUGCUUUUGCCGUCUUUCUCCUUCCUCCUUCCCUCCCUUCCUUCCUUCCCUUUCUUU
This is an RNA transcript of Ailuropoda melanoleuca (giant panda), 2494 nucleotides long. RefSeq lists it as uncharacterized. NCBI's taxonomy places the organism in Eukaryota, Metazoa, Chordata, Mammalia, Carnivora, Ursidae. The transcript has 3 exons. The record is from RefSeq and is a predicted model, not a curated record.